This 274-nucleotide ribosomal RNA is filed under the name uncultured bacterium. Its description in RNAcentral is "partial 16S ribosomal RNA". It matches the Rfam family "Bacterial small subunit ribosomal RNA", at positions 523 to 796 of the family's 1533-position model. The record is from RNAcentral.
AUACGUAGGGUGCGAGCGUUAUCCGGAUUUAUUAGGUUUAAAGGGUGUGUAGGCGGGAGCCUAAGUCAGUGGUGAAAUCUCACAGCUUAACUGUGAAACUGCCAUUGAAACUGGGUUUCUUGAGUAUAGUUGAGGUAGGCGGAAUGUGUAAUGUAGCGGUGAAAUGCAUAGAUAUUACACAGAACACCGAUUGCGAAGGCAGCUUACUAAGCUAUUACUGACGCUGAUGCACGAAAGCGUGGGUAGCGAACAGGAUUAGAUACCCUAGUAGUCC